GCGGGGCUCCGCGCUUUACGCCUCCUUACUGCGCGCCGCGGCAGGGGGCAGAGAUGAGAAGGGGUGGGGGGACCGAGCAGCGGCGGCUGGAGCGCGGCGGCUGCGUGUGUGUGUGUGUGUGUAUGUGUGUGUGCCCCCCCGCCGAACGGGGAGUCAGGUGGGACAUGCACACAGACGCGCGCAUGCAGCCCCCCCCCCCCCCCCUCCGUCCCCGCACUCCCGGCCCCUUCCCCGCUUUCCUCCUUUGCCUUCAUCCUUCCCUCUCUCCUUUAUUUAUUUCCACGCCCGCCCUCCGACGCUGCCCCCCGCAGCCCCUCCCGGGCAGCGACCUCCGAACCGCGGGAGCGACCUCCCGGGACGGGGCCUUGCGGCGUAAGGGCACGCAGCCCCCGGGGUCGCCGCCCCGUCGGGUCCCGCCACACCGCACGUUGUCGGGAGCCGCGCAUCCCCCCCACCCCCCCGCCCCGGUCUCGGCUGCUGUGUCACCUGGCACCAUGUGCUCCUCAGCAGCGCUGUUUGAGAAUUGUCUCUAUUCGUGGAACUUCUCCGUGGGGAGGGACUUUUAUCUUUUGUUUUUAAGCCCUUCUUUCCCAUCUUUGCCACUGCACAAUUUGGAUGUGGAGUUCCUGGAAAGUGAACGCUGGCAAUAAGUGCAGCUUUCCCUGAAAGCUGAGGCUGCUGCUUAUUCCCUACUGAGAAGAGAGAGGGGAUCGUGGAUGUCAGCUCCAUCUUUCUUUCUUUCUUUCUCUUUCUUUCUUUCUUUCUUUCUUUCUUUCUUUCUUUCUUUCUUUCUUUCUUUCUUUCUUUCUUUCUUUCUUUCUUUCUUUCUUUCUUUCUUUCUUUCUUUCUUUCUUUCUUUCUUUCUCUCUCUCUCUCUCUCUCUCUCUCUCUCUCUCUCUCUCUCUUUCUCUCUUUCUCUCUUUCUUUUUUUCCCCUUCUUUUUAUCUUUUCCUUUAUUUUGACUUUGAGGUGCAUUUUCUCUUCCUGCUCUGGGAAUUGGCAGAUACAGUUCCUGUAGGCAACUUUGCAUCAAGACAGAGACUGUGAAGUUGAUACCUCAGUGCUUUUCUUAGCUGUGCUCUUCUAUUAAUUGGUGUUAGAAAGUGCAACCUUGUAGCACAGUUAUUGAAUAAUCAUUAAUCUGUGGAGGAUACACAAGCCCAAAGGUUAAUAAUAACAAUUAAUAAUAGUGACUUUGCUAGCAGGGAGACUAUUUUCUCAUAGUUAUUAAAAGGCACUCCCAUUUAUGCUAUGUAUGGAGAGGUGAAUUUGGCCCUGGUGUGCUGAAUACCACUUUACCGCAGCAAGCCCACAGAUGAAUCCUCCCCAUUAUCUCCAUGCUGUCAGGUCUCUCGCUUUUUCUCCCUUUAAAAUGUAUCAAACACUGCUCUCAUUUUAAAUAGAAAUGCUCAGGCUUUAAUCAAUUCUGACAUUUCCACUGGAAAAUAACAUCUAGCUCUCUUACACAGAUAAAAAUUUAUUUGCCUGUAGCUGGUCUGCUGUAGCGCUUUGGACCUAUUCGCUUCUCAGAGAAGACUUGGCUUUUCAUGGUCUCUAGGUACCACGGGGCAAUAAAUAGAAAGUCAGUGCAAGGGGGAUGUUCACACUUUUACAGUCACAACUCUCCGCUGCCUCCUCGCUGAGCUCUUCUGUCUGCCUAACCAGCAUGCUCCUGUUGUCCAAGACCCAUCUCCUUUAUUUGUAUCACACCCCUGUCUGGCUGGUCAGUGAAUCUUAAUAAUAAUCAUGUUUCAUGUCUCAGAAAUCUAAUAAUCAAGUUACUCAUUCGUAUAAAUUGCAACUAAGCUGUUUGGAUUCGUUGUGUUAUCCCCACUUUAAAGGCACGGAAACUGAAACAGAAAAAUUAACACAUUUGCCUGAGGCCACACAUGGAUUGAAGAGUAUGUCCAGCACUGGAACUGAAUUCUGUAUUUAGACCAUGCUUCCUCUUAAAGAUUGUGAAGCACACUGUGGAAAAUGUUUUUAAAGAAAGGAAUGUAGUAUAAACCUUAUUUUCCAUUGACUUUGUAUACUAGUCAAAUUGCAUGCCUUUCUUUUUUUUGGGGGGGGGAGGGGGGGGGGAGGUUUAAUAUAUAUCACGUUUCCUUUUCUAAAUACAAGAUUUAUUCGACUUUUGACAAAGACAAAGGUGGAACCUUUCAGUUGCAGUCAGCUUACUGUGGAAACAAGAAACAUUUACUGUGAGAUUGUGAGCAGUAAUGGGAACAGAAUUGCUUGUUAUUAGGUUAUUGUAAACAGUAUCCAUUGGAUGUUACGGUGUAGUUGUAGGCCAGCACAAUAUAAUGAGAAGUUCAGCACUAGUACAGAUAAGGUGCUAUUGCUUACCUGGCGUGCAUCAGUUUCCACCGUAAUUCUCCUUCAGUGCUUUCAGUAGCAAAAUACUUAGUGUGGGUUUAAGCACUGAAAAACAUGUGGGACAGCCAUAUACUGUGAGAGUUAUGAUUUAUAUCAUUAAGCAGUGAGUCUUGCAGUGUUGUGUCACUCAUGUCAAUGAAGCAAGAAGUAUACUGCCGGCCCUUUAGCUGUGGCAUGUCAUCAAAGCUAUAUUAUGGUAUGACUGAGCACAGAUGGCAUGUCUAAAAAGCAGGUGUACAAUAUAACUUUCAUAUUACUGACACGUAGAUAUUUCCUCUUCCUCAGUGUCCAUUCCCAGAUGUUUGCUUGCCCAACCUUCUACAGGAACUAAAGAAAGUCCUGCUCAUCCUGCUCAUCCUUCAUGUCUGGAAUUGUAUCAUCAAAACCCAUAGAGAAUAUGUGUUUAUAUAUAUUUGUAUGUAUUUAUGCUGACAGCUCCUUUCUGAGGUUUUUUUCAGAGUCCUGAUUUGAGGAAAGUGGAUGCAGAUCUCACUCAAAUAAUCUUUCUCCAAUACUAUCAACAUUGCCUGCCAAAAAUAAAAGUGGCAUAUGAAUCACAAUAAUUCACUCAUGAUUUGGUGGAUUUAAAGCCUGCGAAGGAGCAUUAGAAAUCCACAUGGUGCUCCUGAGCUUUAUGGACUUUGAAUGGUGGUGAGGUAAUGAAACUGUUGAAUCUGCAGACUGAAACCGUCAGAAGCCUUUCCUGAGGUGCCCCUUACUGAAAUGCUACUGUGGCAUAAUGAUUUGGAAAUAAGCUUUUGUGUGAGAAGAGCUAUCGGAUCCUCUGGGAAACAUUACAGAUACUUUCCAGUUCCUUUCAGACAUGCCCUGAUGCUGCACAGUACCUCAAUCCAUUCAGCUUCUCUUCAAGAUGGUAACUACUUUCCGCUCCACAUCUCUGCUGCAGAAGAUCUUGUGAUUACCUGAAAAAGUGAAUUGCAUCCUGUAGAUUUCCCCUUAAAACUUCUGCUUCACAGAAGAGAUCAGCUUGUGACAGAUGCGUCAGCAAUGUCAGACUCACUUCUCUGUUGCCUAAUUGCCCUCUCCACCUUCUGUCAAUCUGAAACUCUCAUUUUGGAAAGGACUGAAGGAGUUGUAUUAAUAUUUGUGCUAUCCACAUUUUUCCUGCAUAUUGUCUGCUCCUUCCCUUGGUGUCUGGUUUGUCUUGGCUGCUUUUAAAAAUUCUGUUGCCUCUAGUGAGGGACUGCCAGAUUAAACCAGUACAGAGAAUCCAGGUGACUGUCUACUUUUACAAAUAUAGGUUGUGUAUAAUAAAUUCAGGUUUUACAUCUAUGCAAAUUAAGUCAUCAUAUGAUUAUGACUACAUGCAUUUUUUUAUCAAAUAUGGCAUAUAUUUCACAAAUUAUAUUUAACUUAUACACAUGUUGCUAUUCUGAAUACCUGACUAGGAAUUACAAAGUGUGUCACUAGAUCUUAGUAAGUGGGCUUAUGGAACAAGAAGAAAUAAGAGAAAAUCACCUCUUUUCCUUGCAUUCCUGACAAGUCCAGUGUAAGGGCUUUUCCUACUCUAGAUGGCAAUAUAAACACCUUACCACAGAGCUGUUGAGAGAUAAAAGUACAUCUUGUUGUUGGAAACUUAAAGAAUGUAUGAAAAACAAAACAAAAUACCCUAAAAAAGGAAGUUUUAAAGUAAUGUGUCUUUGGUCUAGUGUUUGUCACAUCUACUUGGUAUGGCCUUCCUCUAAUGUUUCAGUCAUGCAGUGUAAGACAUUAGUCACAAUGUCAAAAUAAGCACAUUACUUCUGCAAAAAUGUAUUUUCACCUCAGGAAUAUUGUGAAGUGAAAAUAGGAUUUAGCACAAUUCUUCCUUUUGAGUUUUUCUACAGACAGGACAGUUUUAGUGUAAAGCUCUAAAUCUUGCAAGAUUAUUCCCAGCAUUAGGUACGACACAUCUGGAAGAAUCUGCCAACUGAGUGCUGGCAAGGAUUACGCUGAGAAGGUAACAACUCAGUGCUUUCACUGUUAACCGUCCUCCACAACUGCUGUUUUUUGGUGUUUUUGUGUGUGUGUGUUCGUUUGUUUCUUUGUUUUCCGAAUAAAUAAACAAAUACUUUGUUGAGCUCAAGAUGUCUCUGUCAGUAUUUAUAUUUCAGACUGCAGGAGAAUCUGAUCUGGAUGGAUGUACAAUUCAGGUGGAACUUAGGUGUGAUCCAGAAAACCUCUGCUAAACAGAGGCAGUUGCUAAACCUCAAAGCAGUAUGUUACACCUCUAAAUUCACCCUUUUCCAUCUGGGAAUGCCAGGCUACCUUUUGGGCCUGCUCAUGUCCAAGUCCUCUGGACCCCAGAUCUACGAUGUUUUGUUCCUCCACCCAAAUCAUUUAAUUGGCACAACCUGAUCCCUAC
Molecule: long non-coding RNA, 4741 nt
Filed under: Gallus gallus (chicken)
Lineage: Eukaryota; Metazoa; Chordata; Aves; Galliformes; Phasianidae
Description: lncRNA (ENSGALG00010002921.1)
Source: RNAcentral